RNAcentral lists this ribosomal RNA (1094 nucleotides) under Microbacterium sp. Its description in RNAcentral is "bacterial SSU rRNA". It matches the Rfam family "Bacterial small subunit ribosomal RNA", at positions 45 to 1164 of the family's 1533-position model. Lineage: Bacteria; Bacillati; Actinomycetota; Actinomycetes; Micrococcales; Microbacteriaceae. The record is from RNAcentral.
UGCUUACCUGCAAGUCGAACGGUGAAGCCCAGCUUGCUGGGUGGAUCAGUGGCGAACGGGUGAGUAACACGUGAGCAACCUGCCCUGGACUCUGGGAUAAGCGCUGGAAACGGCGUCUAAUACUGGAUAUGAGCUUUCACCGCAUGGUGGGGGUUGGAAAGAUUUUUCGGUCUGGGAUGGGCUCGCGGCCUAUCAGCUUGUUGGUGAGGUAAUGGCUUACCAAGGCGUCGACGGGUAGCCGGCCUGAGAGGGUGACCGGCCACACUGGGACUGAGACACGGCCCAGACUCCUACGGGAGGCAGCAGUGGGGAAUAUUGCACAAUGGGCGGAAGCCUGAUGCAGCAACGCCGCGUGAGGGAUGACGGCCUUCGGGUUGUAAACCUCUUUUAGCAAGGAAGAAGCGAAAGUGACGGUACUUGCAGAAAAAGCGCCGGCUAACUACGUGCCAGCAGCCGCGGUAAUACGUAGGGCGCAAGCGUUAUCCGGAAUUAUUGGGCGUAAAGAGCUCGUAGGCGGUUUGUCGCGUCUGCUGUGAAAUCCCGAGGCUCAACCUCGGGCCUGCAGUGGGUACGGGCAGACUAGAGUGCGGUAGGGGAGAUUGGAAUUCCUGGUGUAGCGGUGGAAUGCGCAGAUAUCAGGAGGAACACCGAUGGCGAAGGCAGAUCUCUGGGCCGUAACUGACGCUGAGGAGCGAAAGGGUGGGGAGCAAACAGGCUUAGAUACCCUGGUAGUCCACCCCGUAAACGUUGGGAACUAGUUGUGGGGUCCUUUCCACGGAUUCCGUGACGCAGCUAACGCAUUAAGUUCCCCGCCUGGGGAGUACGGCCGCAAGGCUAAAACUCAAAGGAAUUGACGGGGACCCGCACAAGCGGCGGAGCAUGCGGAUUAAUUCGAUGCAACGCGAAGAACCUUACCAAGGCUUGACUUACACGAGAACACCCUAGAAAUAGGGGACUCUUUGGACACUCGUGAACAGGUGGUGCAUGGUUGUCGUCAGCUCGUGCCGUGAGAUGUUGGGUAAGUCCCGCACGAACGCACCCUCGUCCUUGUUCCCACCCGAAUGGUGGGAAUCCUGGGAACUGCCGGGUCACUC